GACGAACGCUGGCGGCGUGCUUAACACAUGCAAGUCGAACGGAAAAGCCCGCUUUCGGUGGGUUCAUCGGCUACCGGACGAGUAACACACGGGUAACUUGCCUUCCGUUGACUGUUAGCUACACGAACGUCGGCCGGAUGACUCAUACGACCGAUGUCCGGAUGCUCGUUAGGUGGAACAAUUUGUCGGCUGGGGAUGGACUCGCGGCCUAUCAGCUUGGUGGUGGGGGAGUCGCUUACCAAGGAGACGACGGCUAGCCGGCCUGAGAGGGUGACCGGCCACAGUGGGACUGAGAAACGGCCCAGACUCCUACGGGAGGCAGCAGGGGGGAAUAUUGCACAAUGGGCGGAAGCCUGACGCAGCAACGCCGCGUGCGGGAUGACGGCCUUCGGGUUGUAAACCGCUUUCGCCGGAGACGAAGCGUGAGUGACGGUAAUGGAAAAAGAAGCACCGGCUAACUACGUG
This 465-nucleotide ribosomal RNA is filed under the name uncultured bacterium. Its description in RNAcentral is "partial 16S ribosomal RNA". It matches the Rfam family "Bacterial small subunit ribosomal RNA", at positions 28 to 507 of the family's 1533-position model. The record is from RNAcentral.